UCAAAUAUCAAAUAUCAAAUAUCAAACAUUUAUUCAGCAAAUAGGCCACAGGGGCACUUUUACAUGUCCAUUUUUACAAACAAUAAAUUAAAAAAAAAAAACAAUUACAAAUAUCGAAUCUAUGAAAUAAUAAAUAAAACCAUAAAAUACUAAAAUUCUUUAGAGAUGUAUAAGUCUCUAAGUGUCAGAGAUAAAAUAUAAAAAUAUAUAUUAAAUUAUCCUUAGAGAUGUAGAGGGUCGCCAAGGCUUGAAUUCUUAUAUAAAUAAUUAAAAGACAAAAAAAUUAAAACAGACAAGAACCGAAUGAAGUGUCUCACGUUAAUGUCACUCAAAAGUAAAGUUACAUACUUUAACAUAACCUGUACCCCGUGUAAGCUUAAACAGACCGGUCUCCACAAACAGCACCCGUUCACGAGUAUGACGUGUAUCUCAGCCAUCGCCUCCCUCAACCUUCAUUCGGGAAAGUGGCGACCCGAUCAACGACGCCACCGUAAGUAAAGACUUUUAAGCGAGCAUGACAUGUUCAAGCUGCCGGGUUGUAUUAAUAUAAAUAUAAUAAAAAAAUUGUGAGAUACAACAUUUGUGCUUGUAAGUUACAUUAAAGACGGCAUAGCGCCACAUAAACGCGACUACAUAUUAUUCAUAAGGAGUGCCUACCUAUAAAACUAAAUUAUAAAUUUAAAUUGACUUAGAGAUGUACAGGUCUCUAAGUGUCCAAAUCAUUAAAAUAGGUAUUAAAAUAAAAUGAAAUUUAAAAUAAAAUAAAAUUUAAAACAAAAUAAAAUCUUAGAGGUGUAUAAGGUCUCUAAGUGUCCAAAACUAAAAUAAUACCAUCAAACGAGAACAUGAUGUUCUCUUGUGUCAGUUCUACUGGACGCUAGUAUGGUUAUUUCACAGGAAGAAAACGAAAACACUAUUACUGACAUUUUUAUCAUACUGAUACUCAUACUGAUGAUCAUACUGAUGUCGACUUCAACCAGUCUCUCUCCGGGACCGCGAGGGCAAUAUCGCUUUCUUAUUAUUAUUUUACUUAAUCAUUUUUGUAGGUAUAAAUCAUGAAAACUUGAGGAAGUUUUGAGUACCUUGGUACAUAAUAUUUGAGGCAGCUGGGAUAAAAUGACCACUAUUAGGAUUUUAUUGUACUAACAUUUUCUACAUGCUAAAUUUACUAACAUUUUCUACAUGCUAAAUUUCAUUUAAUUGGGUUCUGUACUGUAACUUACCAGUGAUAAAGCAACUAAUAAAAAUUAGGAGCACUGUCUACUCAUUCGGAAUAGAUAACUGUUUUUUAGAAAUUUGUGUAGCCGAAAAAGGGGUCGGCGAACUUUAGGUCAGAGUCAGCUAAAGUAAAAAUCUCAAAAAACUCAUAAACCGCAUGCGGCUCGCGAGAUGCGAUUUACCGACCGACCACUGGCCUAGAAGCUGCAUGUUAUAAAGUCCAAACUUACCGUGUGAUUAAAAUUUGUCCUGGCCGUGAACAUGGCCGACUUCCUCAGCAGCUCGCCACCGAUGCACAUGAGGAAUCCUACUGCCGACAGCAAGAAGCAUGUCUUCAUUUCUGAAAAAGAAAUUAUACUUCUUCGUUAUUAAAGGUCUACCCACACUGCUACUCAAUACCCUGACGCGUUGUAAGCCCUGUGACUCGUGCGCACGUUUUUAACCGCCGGCUGGUGUACUUGGCGUAGUCGCGAACACUGUGUAAUCACUUCUUAGGGUUUUGAAUUAGCUUAAUUUUCGGAAAGAAGAAAUAUUCCACAGCCCACUCCGUCCAGCUGGCUACAGCAGCAAGCCCAUAUUGCAGACUAUGAUUCAAUAUGAACGAGUCAAUGGACAGCGUCCGAGGGUUCGUCAGUGCCACCGCCAUGAACUCUGAGAAGUGGAAAAACGUGAGUGCCAUGGUGUAGAGGCCAAACACCCGCCAACCAGAGUCGAAAGUGCUGAGGUGGACACCGGUAGCAAAGGCAGCACCGAGGAAUGCUGAUCUGACAGACACCUGCAAAUAUAAAUAUAUUUUAUCAUACAAGAUAAAAAUACAGUAGAAUCCAUAAUUUUAUGACUCUGCUUAUACUGAGUGAAGUUUGGUUUUCAUAUCAAAUUCUUUGUAACAACACGUAUAAAAUGACUUCGCCUAUAGUGACAAGUCAUGACCUAUAAAUCCUAUUUUCAUGAAAUUAUGACUGGCUAUACUGACAGUCGCUAGCUUUCGUGGUCAUCCCCACAUCUUUCCCUGUGAAGAUGCUUAGUGCAUGUGUGGCAUGUAAGUUGUUUUAAUUUUAUUCUCAGUGACAAGUUAAUAAUUGGUUGAAAAUGAAUAAACUCAUCAGUCAGAAAGGAAUUUGAGAUUAAUUUGGAAAAUUUUACAUUAUUAAGAAGUUGAGCAAUGACAGUUUUAUAUGACAUCCACAUAGUCUGAUGUUUUUAACACUUCCCUUCAAUGUAAUUAUAUGCGUAUUUUACUGUAUAGCAUGAAAACGAAUAAAAUAUAAAUUUACAAAUGAAA
This is a long non-coding RNA of Cydia pomonella (codling moth), 2500 nucleotides long. RefSeq lists it as uncharacterized. Lineage: Eukaryota; Metazoa; Arthropoda; Insecta; Lepidoptera; Tortricidae. The record is from RefSeq and is a predicted model, not a curated record. The transcript has 2 exons.